GUUUACAUCAGAUAAUCUUUAGAUGUAUUUAUGCAAAUUCCAUUUUAUUAUCCCUAUCUAAAAUAUUGUAUGUCAUCGAUCUACAUUUUAUUUUCCACAAUUGCUUAACCCCCAAAUUGUGGAUGUUUGUCUUUGAACGAAUAUCUUAUUAAUAUUAACUCAUGUGGCAAUGUGUCACUGCAAAUGAAUGAAGCAGAGAACAAGUACACAAAGCUAUAUUAAUUCACGCAUGCGUAUUAAGAGCUAUGAACUGAUAUGGAAAAUUCAAAGGUAUGGUAUUUCAAAUGAUAAUGUUAUUCAUUGUCUGAUGUGGCUCUUCUUUUUUCCGUUUUGAAGAAUUUGCUCAUAUUCUGUCCAUAACUCAAUUUCAAAUUUUCCUGUUAUUAUAUUUAAGUUCAAUGCUGAGGACUGCCUAUGAUAUUUUCCAAACUUAAAAAGACAUUUUUAUUAAGUUCUAUUUUUUUUUUAAACAUAUUAAGUUCUCAUUAUAUGCUUUGAUGUUGUUGUUUCAUGGUGAGGAUAUCCAACGAGUGUUAGUAUAUAGAUUGAUUACUAUGAUUGGGUCUGGUCAGUUUUCUCUCUUGCAAAGUUCAAGUGAUGCACUCUCUUUCACUCAUUAAUUCCAAUUAAUAUUUGCAUAAGAAUCUCUACACAAUUUAAAGAAAUUACAUCUGAAAUAUAAUCUUAUUAAUUU
Molecule: long non-coding RNA, 694 nt
Filed under: Trifolium pratense (red clover)
Lineage: Eukaryota; Viridiplantae; Streptophyta; Magnoliopsida; Fabales; Fabaceae
Description: long non-coding RNA (TPRA_LNC005182)
Source: RNAcentral